RNAcentral lists this ribosomal RNA (253 nucleotides) under uncultured bacterium. RNAcentral describes it as "partial 16S ribosomal RNA". It matches the Rfam family "Bacterial small subunit ribosomal RNA", at positions 524 to 776 of the family's 1533-position model. The record is from RNAcentral.
UACGAAGGGGGCUAGCGUUGCUCGGAAUUACUGGGCGUAAAGCGCACGUAGGCGGCUCUUUAAGUCGGGGGUGAAAUCCUGGAGCUCAACUCCAGAACUGCCUUCGAUACUGCAGAGCUUGAGUUCGGGAGAGGUGAGUGGAACUGCGAGUGUAGAGGUGAAAUUCGUAGAUAUCAAGAGGAACACCUGAGGUGAAGACGGGUUGCUGGGCUGACACUGACGCUGAGGCGCGAAAGCCAGGGGAGCAAACGGG